AUAGGAGCCAAGCAAUAAAAGAGUUCGACCUCUAGCUCGGGUCACGUCCUUGGCAAACUUAAUCUCUCCUGUAAGAAAUGGAGCAGUCAGACGUUUUGGUCAAACAAUACAGUCAUUUACCCUUCGUGGUGACCACAGAUCCCCAGCCUCUGCCCAGAAGUCAUUUAGCAGGUCCGCAGCGCCAACACCUGCCAAAAGAAGAAGCAGCGUGCUGUGGUCAGAGAUGCUGGACGUCAGCACGAAGGAGUCUUUGACCACCAGGGAAAUCAAACGUCAGGAGGCAAUAUAUGAAAUGUCCCGAGGUGAGCAGGAUUUAAUUGAAGAUCUCAAGCUUGCAAGAAAGGUC
Long non-coding RNA from Propithecus coquereli (Coquerel's sifaka), 346 nucleotides. RefSeq lists it as uncharacterized. The transcript is spliced from 3 exons. Lineage: Eukaryota; Metazoa; Chordata; Mammalia; Primates; Indriidae. The record is from RefSeq and is a predicted model, not a curated record.